Molecule: long non-coding RNA, 2471 nt
Organism: Peromyscus eremicus (cactus mouse)
Lineage: Eukaryota; Metazoa; Chordata; Mammalia; Rodentia; Cricetidae
Exons: 3
Source: RefSeq, a predicted model, not a curated record
AUGCGACCUAACUAUGUUUCCCCGCUCAGUACAACUUAAAAGACAGUGAUGCGCGCUCAGUCACAGGACACAUUGUGAGAAACGUAUCUUUAGGGGAGCCUUCAGACCUCACACAAACGGAGAUGGUCUAGGUCAGUCCCAUGACUUCCUGGAGCACUUGACGCACUGUUACAUGGAAACGCAGGCCUAAGGUGGCUGGACUGAUAAAGUGCUUGUCUUGCAAGCCUGAGGACCGGAGUUCAAUUCCCCAAAACCUAGGUGAAAAAAAGUGGUGAUGGGGUGCGCUGCAAUUUCAGCGCUGGGGAAGCGGAGAUAGGCGGGUCCUGGGGGCUCACUAUCCACCAGAGUGGGAAGGAACAACACACACACACACACACACACACACACACACACACACACCCUCAUCAGUAGUUUUACGGUUCUAAGAGCCUUCCUGCCUCAGCGUCCCUGGAGCAGUCAUGUGACCGUGUCUGACCAAUCAAAGCUUGGCUCCCUUCCUCAACCACAAACUGAACCAAUGAGAACCAGCCUUAGACUCUAACUGCAACCUCCGGGAAAAGGCAAGCCUCUCAGCUCCGGUUGGUGUCAGGUGACACAGGUGAACUGUUGUGGCAGGCCACAGAGGGGCACGGAGGAGUGAUACAAGAAGAAUGACAAAUAGGCAUGUCCACCAGAGAGGGAAGGAGCCAGAAUCGAGCAUACGUACGCAGUGCCGCAGGCCCAAGGCUGACAUCUGUGCACAGAGGCUUACAGGAGCUGACAACCCAUAAACUGAGAUCUUGGGCAGGAAGGAGGCAGCGGGAAGUGAGACAGCACAGCUCUAAAAGAGAAGACUGUUUGGCUGGAACACAAGGGGAAGAGAAAAGUCACUGGGUACAGAUGAUGAAAGGCGAAGUGGGAUUGUGGAGAGCCUCAUCAUAAGAACGGCAAUUACAGGGUCCUGGAGUCUCCUCCUCAGCUGUGGUUGUAGAGUGUCGAGCUGUAGUUCCGCAAUGCACGUAACCUCUGUGCUAACAGAUCAUUUUGAGCUCUGCUCAUUGGGAAUGAAGAUGUCUAAAUGGAGAGUGUCAUUAAUCUGGAACAAGCAGGUCCCACAUGUUCAGAGCAAAGGGUCACAUGUGAAUCAUAAAUCCAAAGUGUUCUUAAAUAUCUAUAAUAAGCUGCUAUAAAACGCAAUGGAAAAGAUCCUUAUUCAAUGCCAAUAAAAUUCUAAAACUCUUUCCCAUAAAUCUACUGGGAGGCAGUGAGAGAUACUUGAGUUAAUGUUCUUAUUUCCCUUAGACAAUUAAAUACCAUGAACACAUCACUGGCUCAUUUGAAGAGAUUUGCUAAGGCCCCAUUGCAUGCUGGGUACAACCCUUGCAGUGCAUUAGUGCCCCAAACCAAGGUCUACUCACUUUAUUGUGUAAGGUCAUGAGAAAAUAAACUCAAAAUCCAUUUGGAGACCAGGCAAAAACAGCCACAACAACUUUUAAGUCCCAAUGGUGACAUUUGCCCUUUGGGGCAUUUGAAUACAUCUUUAAGCAAUGGUAAUUUUAAAAGCCCAGAACUAUUGUAUAAAAGAAAAGUGAGACCAGAAAUAAGCCAAUCACCUCCUCAAACCUCAUGGAUGAUGGAGUAUCCAUCCCAAAUCAUUGGUCAGUAAAUGGUGAUUAGAUAGCAAAAUUGGCAAAUCAGAAAAUUUAAAAAAAAAAAGUGACUGCCUGAGGCUAACUGAAAUACAGUCCAUGAAACACACUUCAUUUGAAUUAAAGGAGUUAAAUAUUUAAAGAAAUUAAAUGGAAACUUAGGCACGGUGGUACGCACCAGCUCUUGGAAGGUAGUGACAGGAAGAUCAGGAGUUCAAAGCUAGCUUCAGCUACAUAGGGAGUUCAAGGCCAGCCUGGGCUAUGUGAGGUGUCUCAAAGAAGAAAAGGAAGAAGAAGAGGAAGGGUGGACUCUGGAGAGAUAGCUCCAAGGUUAAGAGCAUAUACUAUUCUUGCUAAGGACCCGUAUUAGGUAGCUCAUGACUGCCUGCAACUCCAAGGAGAUCUGACUCCUUUGGCCUCUGCAGACACUGCACUCGUGUACACAGACACACAUGCACACAAUUAAAAACAAGACAGCUUUUAAAUAAAGAAGAAAGAAAAGGGGAUGCAGAAGACCAAGCCUGGAACAGAUGUGUGAGAGGCAAGUCACUCACUGCCACACCAAGACAACAAGGGGACAGAUCUGGGAAGGACUGGUGAUUCCCACACCAAGACAACGAGGAGACAAAAUCUGGGAAGGACUGGUGAUUCCCACACCAAGACAACGAGGGGACAGAUCUGGGAAGGACUGGUGAUUCCCACACCAAGACGACGGAGGGAAUAAGUAGGAAAAACCAGUGGAACAGGCCACACACAACGGAAGCUGUAAGGGAAAUGCCAUAAACACAAAUCCACAAAUCAAGUCAGUGAAGGAUCAGUGCUAAGGAAGGUCCAUGGGCUUCA